AGGGCUCCCUGCUGUUGGUGGUCUCCCGGCUGUAGGUGGUCUCCCGGCUGUUGGCGGGCUCCCUGCUGUUGGAGGAGGGCUUCCUCCUGUAGGCGGGCUUCCUGCCGUAGGAGGAGGUCUGCCGGGCGUUGGCGGAGUGCUUCCCCCUGUAGGCGGGCUUCCUGCUGUAGGCGGAGGAGGGCUGCCGGGUGUGGGCGGAGGACUUCCCCCUGUAGGACUUCCCCCUGUAGGUGGUCUUCCUGCUGUAGGAGGAGGGCUG
This 259-nucleotide unclassified non-coding RNA is filed under the name Hevea brasiliensis (rubber tree). Lineage: Eukaryota; Viridiplantae; Streptophyta; Magnoliopsida; Malpighiales; Euphorbiaceae. The record is from RNAcentral.